UAUAAUGUUUUGACUUUUAUCUUAUUUGAAAUUUUUUGUGAUUAAUAUUUUUAUUCUUACUAAAUGAUAAAACAUGAAUAGUACUUUAUGUGUGACUAAUUUUUUUAAGCUUUUGUACAAAAUUUCUAAAUAAGACGAAUGGUCAAACGUUGGAUACGGAAAAAC
This 165-nucleotide microRNA precursor is filed under the name Oryza brachyantha (malo sina). RNAcentral describes it as "MIR812 microRNA precursor family". It matches the Rfam family "MIR812 microRNA precursor family", at positions 27 to 190 of the family's 205-position model. The record is from Rfam by way of RNAcentral. Lineage: Eukaryota; Viridiplantae; Streptophyta; Magnoliopsida; Poales; Poaceae.